UGGCUCAGGAUGAACGCUGGCGGCGUGCCUAAUACAUGCAAGUCGAACGGGAUCUUAGCAGUGCUUGCACAGCUAAGUGAGAGUGGCGCACGGGUGAGUAACACGUAGCUGACCUGCCUUUUACUGGGGGAUAACUCACCGAAAGGUGAGCUAAUACCGCGUAUUCUUGUGGGCAUUAGAAAACCACAAGGAAAGAGUUUAGCAUCGGUAAAAGAGGGGGCUGCGGUCCAUCAGCUAGUUGGUGAGGUAAAAGCUCACCAAGGCACCGACGGAUAGGGGACCUGAGAGGGUGACCCCCCACACUGGAACUGAGACACGGUCCAGACUCCUACGGGAGGCAGCAGUAAGGAAUAUUGCACAAUGGACGCUAGUCUGAUGCAGCAACGCCGCGUGGAGGAUGAAGGCUUUCGAGUUGUAAACUCCUUUUCUGAGGGACGAGACAGGACGGUACCUCAGGAAUAAGUCUCGGCUAACUACGUGCCAGCAGCCGCGGUAAAACGUAGGAGGCGAGCGUUAUCCGGAUUUACUGGGCGUAAAGCGCGGGCAGGCGGUGACUUAAGUCAUGCGUGAAAGCUCCUGGCUCAACUGGGAGAGGUCGUGUGAAACUGGGUCGCUAGAGGCAAGUAGAGGCAGACGGAAUUCCGGGUGGAGUGGUGAAAUGCGUAGAGAUCCGGAGGAACACCAGUGGCGAAGGCGGUCUGCUGGGCUUAGCCUGACGCUCAGCCGCGAAAGCAUGGGUAGCGAACGGGAUUAGAAACCCCGGUAGUCCAUGCCGUAAACGAUGCGUACUAGGCGUUGGGGAUGCACUGCAUCUUCAGUGCCGCAGCAAACGCGAUAAGUAUGCCGCCUGGGGAGUACGGUCGCAAGACUAAAACUCAAAGGAAUUGACGGGGGCCCGCACAAGCAGCGGAGCGUGUGGUUUAAUUCGAGCUACGCGAAGAACCUUACCUAGGCUUGACAUAUAAGUGGUACCGACCUGAAAAGGAAGGGACUUUUGAGCUUAUACAGGUGCUGCAUGGCUGUCGUCAGCUCGUGCCGUGAGGUGUUCGGUUAAGUCCGAAAACGAGCGCAACCCUCGGCGUUAGUUACAAGUGUCUAACGCGACUGCCCGGGGUAACCGGGAGGAAGGUGGGGAUGACGUCAAGUCAGCAUGGCCUUUAUGUCUAGGGCUACACACACGCUACAAUGGCCGGUACAAAAGGCAGCGAACCCGCGAGGGGGAGCGAAUCCUCUAAAGCCAGUCUCAGUUCGGAUUGUAGGCUGCAACUCGCCUGCAUGAAGUUGGAGUUGCUAGUAACCGUAGGUCAGCACACUACGGUGAAUACGUUCCCGGGCCUUGUACACACCGCCCGUCACGUCAUGGAAGCUGGUCAUACCUAAAGUCGGUGGGCUAACCUAACGGAGGCAACCGCCAAAGGUAGGGCUGGUGACUGGGACGAAGUCGUAACAAGGUA
This 1454-nucleotide ribosomal RNA is filed under the name metagenome. RNAcentral describes it as "bacterial SSU rRNA". It matches the Rfam family "Bacterial small subunit ribosomal RNA". The record is from RNAcentral.